UAGAUGGUAUAGCCUACUGCACAGCUAGGCUACGUAGCAUAGCCUGUUGCUGCCAGGCUCCAAACCCAUACAGUAUGGAACUCUGCAGGCAACUGGAACACAAUGCAAACAGCAUGGCUUACUGAGUGUGGUGUCUGUGCCACUGCCCACAAAUCAAGGAAGAACUCUUUCAGGAUCAAGGAAGUUCAGUUAUUUAGGUGAAGAAGAAGAAAAGAGAAGAAGAAGGAG
Long non-coding RNA from Lemur catta (Ring-tailed lemur), 228 nucleotides. RefSeq lists it as uncharacterized. The transcript has 3 exons. The record is from RefSeq and is a predicted model, not a curated record. Lineage: Eukaryota; Metazoa; Chordata; Mammalia; Primates; Lemuridae.